GCCUGGGUGGCUCAGUCAGUUGAGCGUCCGACUUCAGAUCAGGUCAUGGUCUCAGUUUUUGGGUUUGAGUCCCAUGUCAGGCU
Molecule: transfer RNA, 83 nt
Filed under: Felis catus (domestic cat)
Lineage: Eukaryota; Metazoa; Chordata; Mammalia; Carnivora; Felidae
Rfam family: tRNA
About the family: Transfer RNA (tRNA) molecules are approximately 80 nucleotides in length. Their secondary structure includes four short double-helical elements and three loops (D, anti-codon, and T loops). Further hydrogen bonds mediate the characteristic L-shaped molecular structure. tRNAs have two regions of fundamental functional importance: the anti-codon, which is responsible for specific mRNA codon recognition, and the 3' end, to which the tRNAs corresponding amino acid is attached (by aminoacyl-tRNA synthetases). tRNAs cope with the degeneracy of the genetic code in two manners: having more than one tRNA (with a specific anti-codon) for a particular amino acid; and 'wobble' base-pairing, i.e. permitting non-standard base-pairing at the 3rd anti-codon position.
Source: Rfam by way of RNAcentral